RNAcentral lists this ribosomal RNA (253 nucleotides) under uncultured bacterium. Its description in RNAcentral is "partial 16S ribosomal RNA". It matches the Rfam family "Bacterial small subunit ribosomal RNA", at positions 524 to 776 of the family's 1533-position model. The record is from RNAcentral.
UACGUAGGGUGCGAGCGUUGUCCGGAAUUAUUGGGCGUAAAGAGCUUGUAGGCGGUUUGUCGCGUCUGCUGUGAAAAUCCGGGGCUCAACCCCGGACUUGCAGUGGGUACGGGCAGACUAGAGUGUGGUGGGGGAGACUGGAAUUCCUGGUGUAGCGGUGGAAUGCGCAGAUAUCAGGAGGAACACCGAUGGCGAAGGCAGGUCUCUGGGCCACUACUGACGCUGAGAAGCGAAAGCAUGGGGAGCGAACAGG